GAAAUGCGAUACCUGGUGUGAAUUGCAGAAUCCCGCGAACCAUCGAGUCUUUGAACGCAAGUUGCGCCCGAGGCCAUCCGGCCGAGGGCACGCCUGCCUGGGCGUCACGCUAAACACGCUCCCACCCCCCCUCAUCGGGGGAGCGGGAUGCGGCAUGUGGCCUCCCGUCUCGCAAGGGGCGGUGGGCCGAAGAUAUGGCUGCCGGCGUAUCGUGCCGGACACAGCGCUAGGUGGGCGUUCUCGCUAAGCUUAUCGCAGUGUAUCCGGUACGUAGCUGGCACGAUAGCCUCUAAAGACCCUUUGAACGGUGCGCAUGACGCUCCGACCGCGACCCCAGGUCAGGCGGGACUACCCGCUGAAUUUAA
This 365-nucleotide ribosomal RNA is filed under the name Koeleria spicata subsp. spicata. RNAcentral describes it as "eukaryotic LSU rRNA". The stretch from base 1 to 107 matches the Rfam family "5.8S ribosomal RNA", at positions 50 to 154 of the family's 154-position model. The record is from RNAcentral. Lineage: Eukaryota; Viridiplantae; Streptophyta; Magnoliopsida; Poales; Poaceae.